Long non-coding RNA from Cheilinus undulatus (humphead wrasse), 354 nucleotides. RefSeq lists it as uncharacterized. The transcript is spliced from 3 exons. The record is from RefSeq and is a predicted model, not a curated record. NCBI's taxonomy places the organism in Eukaryota, Metazoa, Chordata, Actinopteri, Labriformes, Labridae.
GAACUCGUCGAGGCCACAGAGGAUGAGCAGUUGUUUUCUGGAGUAGUUUCAAAAGAAAAAUCGGACCAUUAGGACAUUUUUUUGACAGACAGACGGUGUUUUGCCACACAUGAAGGCGAACAAGGAGAAAAGGGAAAGGAAAGACUUCCUUUCCGAGCUGCGCCAAUGCUAUGUCUCAGCUGUUGGCAUUCCAUGUAUUUCCAAACGAACCUUUGGACAUUUCAUCAGUGAUGUUGAUGACGGGUAUUCCUCUGUGGAUAAAGAAGGCAGGGAACCUGGAGUUUUGGAGACGGGACCCCUAAGGCAUAGUCGAUUAAGACCAUGGUGAGAAUGGUGAUGAAAACAGCAAAGUCA